RNAcentral lists this ribosomal RNA (397 nucleotides) under uncultured bacterium. RNAcentral's name for it is "partial 16S ribosomal RNA". It matches the Rfam family "Bacterial small subunit ribosomal RNA", at positions 523 to 918 of the family's 1533-position model. The record is from RNAcentral.
AUACGUAGGGGGCGAGCGUUGUCCGGAAUGAUUGGGCGUAAAGGGCGCGUAGGCGGCUUUGCAAGUCAGAAGUGAAAUUCCUGAGCUCAACUCGGGCGCUGCUUCUGAAACUGCAGGACUUGAGUGCUGGAGGGGAUAGCGGAAUUCCUAGUGGAGCGGUAAAAUGCGCAGAUAUUAGGAAGAACACCGGUGGCGAAGGCGGCUAGCUGGACAGUAACUGACGCUGAGGCGCGAAAGCGUGGGGAGCAAACAGGAUUAGAUGCCCUGGUAGGCCACGCCGUAAACGAUGAAUACUAGGUGUAGGGGGUAUCGACUCCCUCUGUGCCGCAGUUAACACAAUAAGUAUUCCGCCUGGGGAGUACGGCCGCAAGGUUGAAACUCAAAUGAAUUGACGGGG